Molecule: ribosomal RNA, 468 nt
Filed under: uncultured bacterium
Lineage: Bacteria
Description: partial 16S ribosomal RNA
Rfam family: Bacterial small subunit ribosomal RNA
Source: RNAcentral
GACGAACGCUGGCGGCGUGCUUAACACAUGCAAGUCGAACGGUAAGGCCCUGUACUUGUGGCGUGCUCGAGUGGCGAACGCGUGAGUAUCACGUGUGUAACCUGCCCCUUACUUUGGGAUACAUUCAGGAAACUGGGGUUAUUACCGCAUAGGAACUCUUGAUGCACGAUGGGGGUGGGUAAGUUUCGGCGGUUGGGGAUGGACGCGCGGCCUAUCAGCGUGUUGGCGAGGUAGUGGCGUACAAAGGCAUUGACGGGUAGCCGGACUGGGAGGGUGACCGGCCACAUAGGGACUGAGAUACGAGCCAGACUGCUACGGGAGGCAGCGGUGGAGAAUAGUGCGCGAUGGGCGGAAGCCGGAUGCAGCAACGCCGCGUGGGGGAUGACGGCCUUCGGGUUGGAAACCGCGUUCGCCUGUGACGAAGCGUGAGUGACGGUAAUGGGUAAAGAAGCACCGGCUAACUACGUG